GUGCUCGCUUCGGCAGCACAUAUACUAACAUUGGAACGAUACAGAGAAGAUUAGCGUGGCCCCCGCGCGAGGACGACACGCAAAUUCGCGAAGCGUUCCAUGUUUUU
Molecule: small nuclear RNA, 107 nt
Organism: Suricata suricatta (meerkat)
Lineage: Eukaryota; Metazoa; Chordata; Mammalia; Carnivora; Herpestidae
Source: Ensembl